CAGGAUGUUCUCUUGAUGCAGCAAUAUCGGAUGAUAUUCAGUCUAUUCCUGCACCAGUUAUUACUCCAGAAUAUCUUCCUUUGGAACCAAAGACCUUGAAUGACAGUUGCAUGACAUACUUUGAUGUUGAAACAACAGGACUUGGUAAGGAUUACUUAUUAUGACAAAAGGCUUAAAGUAUUUAAGAAUUUGAAUACCUCUUUUUGUAGAUUUACUGGGGUGUAAAAGUAUUGUCUGAAGUACUUUUUGGAGAAGCACAGAUUUGCUUCAUUCUAAAAUAUGUUGCACAGUAAACGCUCCUUUACAACCCUAUAAAAUUACUAAAAAAAAGCAUUCAUUAAUAAUAACAUACUAUUUUGUAAGGAUCAUGAAAAGAAUUUUUUUCCCAGUUUUUUUCUUUUAUUCACCUGUGCACUUUAUUGUGAAAGCCAGUGUCAUCAGGAAGUUACAUGUCAUUUUGAAAUAAAGGUUACUUUUAGAAUGAUGCGAGAUUAUUGUUAACCAAUUCAAAAUAACGUGUUACAAAUGUAUAAUGAAACAUACAUGUAAUGUUAUUAUAUAGAUAUAAGUAGAUGUGGUAUGAAUGCCAAUGUGACAACUCUCCAUCUAAGUCUUUAACAUGGAGCCUUUGCUCAUACUGGACAACAAGCUAUAAAGGACCCAAAAAUGACUAACUAGUGUAAAACCAAUGUCAUAUAUAUUUGAGAUCUACAAAAACAUUGUUUUUUUUUUUUUUUUGCAUUGGCUAAAUUUGAAACAAUUGUUUGAAUUAUAGAAAAUUUAAAGUAUUCUUCUAAUACAGAACUUUAAUGUCAACCCAACUUUUCAAAACAGAAGUUCUUGUUAAAAAUGUGGAAGGAGCGUGAAAAGAACAGAGGUGGGCAACUGAUCAACAUAGAUCACUGUGACAUACAUUUUACACUUCAUCACAUUUUUGCUUGUAUUCAAUGUUCAAGCUCAUAUAUCAGCAUCUAGACUAUAUUUGGUAGAAUCAAGCAACCUCAAAUCUUAAUUGGGUUGCUGUUACUGACAUUUGAUGCUUCUAAACUCAUGACAAUAUUUUGAACAAGGUGGUAACUAAUACUAAAUGUAAUUUGUCUAACAGGUAACUUUGAACCUCUAGAUUAUAUUGUUUUUAUUUCAGGCAGAGAUUCUCACAUAAUACAGUUGUCUGCUGUCAACAGCCAAAACACAAAAUUCAACAGAUACAUAAAACCAGCUAGACCAAUAUUACCC
RNAcentral lists this long non-coding RNA (1236 nucleotides) under Mytilus galloprovincialis (Mediterranean mussel). The record is from RNAcentral. Lineage: Eukaryota; Metazoa; Mollusca; Bivalvia; Mytilida; Mytilidae.